This 516-nucleotide ribosomal RNA is filed under the name Drymarchon corais. Its description in RNAcentral is "partial 16S ribosomal RNA". It matches the Rfam family "Bacterial large subunit ribosomal RNA", at positions 1816 to 2604 of the family's 2925-position model. The record is from RNAcentral. Lineage: Eukaryota; Metazoa; Chordata; Lepidosauria; Squamata; Colubridae.
UAACCUUUAGCCAAACAAAUAUUAAAGGCAACGCCUGCCCAGUGAAUAAUUAAACGGCCGCGGUACCCUAACCGUGCAAAGGUAGCAUAAUCAUUUGUCUACUAACUAUAGACCUGUAUGAAAGGCAAAAUGAGGGCCCAACUGUCUCUUAUAGUCAAUCAAUAAAACUGAUCUCCUAGUAAAAAAGCUAGAAUUUCUACAUAAGACCAGAAGACCCUGUGAAGCUUAAACUAAACUAUUAAACCCCAUAAUAAAUACUUUCGGUUGGGGCGGCCUUGGAAAAAAAAAGAACUUCCAAAACACAUGACUUACCUCAUACCCACCAGGCCUACAAGCCAUUAAAUGACCCAGCAAAGCUGAUAAAUGAACCAAGUUACUCCAGGGAUAACAGCGCAAUCUUCUUCAAGAGCCCAUAUCAAAAAGAAGGUUUACGACCUCGAUGUUGGAUCAGGACAUCCUAAUGGUGCAGCCGCUAUUAAGGGUUCGUUUGUUCAACGAUUAACAGUCCUACGUGAU